AUUGGCUCUCUCACUCGGGUGAAAAUUGUCCCAGAAGGCGUAGACGUCGCGGUUGGGGCACAGGUUCGACAAUCUGGUACAUAAUCCAAGUCCAUUGUAGGGUCCUUGCCCACAACAUGCCACCUUUGAUGUCACAAAACCUGUACAUCAAUGCACUUCGUUAGGCCCAUUCAUUGAGUCCUUGAGGAGAUUUAGAGUUUGCAGAAAAUCAAACCAAAUCUUUUAGGGUUAGUGAUGAAGUCCAUGUUCAUUGAAAAAGCAUUGGCGGAAAUGAAGACGGUGGAGCCAAGCUGAGAGUUGAGUUGUUGGAUUAACUGGACCAAGAGUGGGUUGAAUAUGGCUGCUGCUCGUUGAACAUCCGGCACACAUUCCCCGUUCCUGCUCCUCAUCGCCAACUCCGCUGGGACGCAGCCUAAUGGUCCGGUGGUGGUCACCAAGACUCGUCGACCGC
RNAcentral lists this long non-coding RNA (451 nucleotides) under Gossypium raimondii (Peruvian cotton). RNAcentral's name for it is "long non-coding RNA (GRAI_LNC000750)". Lineage: Eukaryota; Viridiplantae; Streptophyta; Magnoliopsida; Malvales; Malvaceae. The record is from RNAcentral.